This 1853-nucleotide ribosomal RNA is filed under the name Triticum aestivum (bread wheat). Its description in RNAcentral is "partial small subunit ribosomal RNA". The record is from RNAcentral. Lineage: Eukaryota; Viridiplantae; Streptophyta; Magnoliopsida; Poales; Poaceae.
CAGGAGAGGUAGAGGUAAGUGAGAUUAUUUAUUUUUUAGGCAAGAGAGGCAUCAAACGCUGACAAUAACGCCUCUUCUUCUUUUUUUUUGAACAAGGUGGAGGGCGGCGGAGCAGCGUGGGGCCUAGAGGGAGGUGUCCGCCGCCUAGGAGCAGCGGCAGCCACCCGUAGGAGUGGUGGCUGGCUAGGCCAGGGCACGAAGAUCCGUCCAGACAGGGUGCGGCAGGAGUUGCUACGGAGGGGCGGCGUCGAGGAGGCGGCCUGUGUCAAGUCGCCUCAGGUCGUUCCGCAGUGUUAGUUCACCUUCACUUAGAUGACCACGGUCCUUUUUUGUCGUACCAGGCUAAAGGUAAGGGAUGUGGGAGGUAGCUCCAAUAGAUCUGGCCAGUUGGUCUAACCCGAGAAGCAAAGACCUCUACGGAAGACCAGUCCUCUUAUAGUUUGACUUAUUUCUCUUAAUAGGUGUCGAACAGGAGCAAUAUUUUCUAUUUCUACUAUUAGUUUCUCUCACAGAUUUCUAUUACUUCUUGAAUUGAGUGCUCUUACAUGAACCUCACAUAAAGACCCUUCUCCAACUUUUACUUGGCAUAUAGGAUCAAGUACACCUCGGAAUGUGUCUUAGCCAAAGCUUCUAGCAACGGUUACGAUUUAAAGAACAACUCGCUUACUGUCUUAACCAAGGUAGAGGUCGGAAAGUUCUUUGUCACUCACGUUACUAACGACGGAACUUGAUAUAAUAUCUCUCACCAAUGAUGGUACCCUUAAAUAGUACCGUCUGCUGAAACAUGGUAGUCUAGCGAUUAUUUUCUCAUCAGUUUAACCGCUUGAAGCUUACUUUUCCAGCAAGAAACCUCGUUACGGUCAACCUUCUAAUAUAGAGAGACCCUCGGAGAGAACUCACCCGUAGAGUUUUCCACUUCUUCCUCAUACUACGAACAGUCAGUGUGUGAACGACGUAUUAUCUACUGGAGCGUUUCUAAAACUUUAGACAAUGACACUUUAGAGACGUCUGUUACUUUGAAGUCGAGUUUCUAGUACUCAAGAAAACCCUGUCGUUAUACUUCUUCUAAAAGAAACGGAUACUACAGGGGGUUUAGAAGUUCUUACUACGUCAAUUCGUUUUUAAAGUCCUUAGAAGUAGAUACGGCAGUAAUGGUACCUGCUGUAGUACCUUUGGACCACACUAUGGACUACUCGAAUACUUUGUAUACAACUAAAUGGCGCCUCUCGUACCUGAACGUGGUAUGCUACGUAUGUUACACCUUCUCAAAGAUUCUAAGUAAUCACCCUACAUAAGAGUACUCUUACUUGAGUCCGUCUUCUAAGGACCGGAGCAAGAACUACGACAUCAAGUCCUCUACAUAGGCACAAACACCAUACUAAAUUUUUUUCGGUACGCUCUACGGUUCCUUCUUCGACUAUUACGGUACCGUCACCUGUUAAUUACUCUUUUUCAUCGCCACAGAGUGAGGGAGGGUCCCACGGUUCGGCGCAGAGAUGGUCGGGCGCCCUCCUUUCCGGGGACGGGACGGGACGGAACGGAAUCCUACGGCGUCAGAAAUUGAAUCAACGACAGAUUAAAUCAAUCAAGUAGAGACGCCCGGUUGACACAACUCAGUACCUUGGUCUUCUACCAUACCUGGUCAGGCAGGAACGACCAAACGGUUUCCUAGAGAUAGAUAGAUACAACUUGAGACAACGAGAGACUUCAAAUCCGUCACACACAGCAGACUUUGUUCACAUGCUUUAAGUACGAGAGGCACGAUACACUUACGGCGUGACUAAGUCUUCAGACGGGAUAAAACAAACGAACGCACAACCACAACCAAAAAAAGAAAGUCACAAACAAAAAGG